Molecule: transfer RNA, 85 nt
Filed under: Actinomycetota bacterium
Lineage: Bacteria; Bacillati; Actinomycetota
Description: tRNA-Leu
Rfam family: tRNA
About the family: Transfer RNA (tRNA) molecules are approximately 80 nucleotides in length. Their secondary structure includes four short double-helical elements and three loops (D, anti-codon, and T loops). Further hydrogen bonds mediate the characteristic L-shaped molecular structure. tRNAs have two regions of fundamental functional importance: the anti-codon, which is responsible for specific mRNA codon recognition, and the 3' end, to which the tRNAs corresponding amino acid is attached (by aminoacyl-tRNA synthetases). tRNAs cope with the degeneracy of the genetic code in two manners: having more than one tRNA (with a specific anti-codon) for a particular amino acid; and 'wobble' base-pairing, i.e. permitting non-standard base-pairing at the 3rd anti-codon position.
Source: RNAcentral
GCGGGUGUGGCGGAACGGUAGACGCGCCGGCCUUAGGAGCCGGUGGGCCUCACGGCCCGUGGGGGUUCGAAUCCCUCCGCCCGCA